Molecule: long non-coding RNA, 1851 nt
Filed under: Solanum lycopersicum (tomato)
Lineage: Eukaryota; Viridiplantae; Streptophyta; Magnoliopsida; Solanales; Solanaceae
Description: long non-coding RNA (SLYC_LNC000861)
Source: RNAcentral
CUUCUGUAGAUCAAGAAUUUGGUAACAAUACUAUUAAUAUUAUGAAGAAACAAAGAGAUCAUGAGUUGUCUUUAGACCUUAACAAUAUUCCAAUUCAAGAUGAUCAUCCUGUUGUAUCCUUAAAGCAACAAGAUCAAGAACAAACACAAAGGCAACUUGUUGAUUGUAAUUAUUGACAAUAAUGCAGGUACAUUUUUUUAAUUUUUUUUUUCUUACUUUUUAACCAUACAAUUAUAUGAGUAAAUAUUUUUCUCAUUGUUAUGAUAUACAAAUUCUUUAAUAUUAAUUCAGUGGAUAAUAUAGUAAAAACCACUUAGUAUUUGAUUCAUUUAAAUUCUCAUAGUACUUGAGUUUGCCACAUGAAUCAACAUUAAUAUAUAUGCCGAUGGUCUAUCAAAAUUAUUAUCUCUAUCCCAUAAAGAUAGAGAUAAAGUCUGCAUAUCUUGUUCUUUUCACACUUAUAAAAUUACACUGACUACAUUAUUAUUGUUAAUUAACAUGCAUACAUACCCUUUUGAGGAUUUACAGUCCACUUUAUGACUUAAUUUCUCUCUGUUUCCUUCACCAACGUGAAUAACGAUAAUAGCUUUAGAAUACUUAACUAGCAUGUUGGCCUUUUAAUCAUGUUAGGUCUUUUGGAUUGUACAUCACCUUUUUGUUACUCCCAUUGUUACAUUUUAUGUGAAAAUAUUUGAUUGAAUAUGAAUACGUGUGACAUGCAAGUCACAUACACACUAUAACGUACCAAUAUUCUUUUACAUAAAUAUAUAGAUUAGAAUUUCACGUGUCUUUUCAUUUUAGAAGAGUGGCGAUGAAGUUUUAACAAGUCAUGUUAGACCAGUCAACUUGUGCGUACCUUAAUUAUUCUACCAGAUACCAACAACUACCUCCCGCUAGCAGAAAUAUCAAGUAUUAAGCUUACCAUGUAUUUCUACAAGAAGUUGUUUACACAACUCGAACCAUAACCUCUAAUCACAAGACACCAACUUUAUCAAUUACACCAAACAUUCUUUUUAGUUUAAUUUGCUUCCUUGAUUCAAAACAUUGGACCAAGAAAUUAGUGAAAAUGCAUGCAUAUUAUAUUCCAAGUGGAGAUAUGCUUGUGGAAGACAAGUAACUAGCAUGAAAGAAAUAAUUUAGGUUUGUGUGUUGCACGUAAGGGAAGUUGUUGCAAGAGACAGGCAAAGUUUAGUGAAAAUGCAUGCAUAUUAUAUUCCAAGUGGAGAUAUGCUUGUGGAAGACAAGUAACUAGCAUGAAAGAAAUAAUUUAGGUUUGUGUGUUGCACGUAAGGGAAGUUGUUGCAAGAGACAGGCAAAGUUCAGUUCAUGUCCUAAACUUAUCCCCCUUUUAUCAUAUUCCACUUCUACCAACACCAUAUCUACACAAUCUUUUUUAUUCUCUCAUUAAUUUGAUAACACAUACAAUAAUCACACAGUUCGAUAUGGUAUUAAAACAAAUAAAGAUACUAGAUUCACGUCUCACCAUCAUCAUUGGAAAAAAAAUGUUUUGUCUAAGAAAAAAUUAUUAGACCUGAAUAUAUUAUCAUCUACUAGAUACUAUUCUUCCAUACCCUUAUAAUGUUCUCCAAGUCACUAUUUAUUCUCUUUGAGGAUUCGUUAUAAAGAAGCAAAAUAAGGCAAAAACCAACAUGAAAAUCUGACAAGUUGACUCUUAAAAUUUGAUAGUACAAAAUAAGAACAUAAACAACUAGAGUAACAAAUAUUUGAAUUUAAGACGCUUAUUACAAGAUAAUAAAACAUAAAUAAUCUUUCAGGCAACUUCCCUGUUGAAUAAACAGAGAACUGGGAUUAUUUUAUUUAUUGAUUAUCCAGGGCCAUUUUUCUAAAACU